This is a long non-coding RNA of Acinonyx jubatus (cheetah), 5220 nucleotides long. RefSeq lists it as uncharacterized. The transcript has 3 exons. NCBI's taxonomy places the organism in Eukaryota, Metazoa, Chordata, Mammalia, Carnivora, Felidae. The record is from RefSeq and is a predicted model, not a curated record.
UUGCAGGCCUGGAGGGAGUGGCAUGACAUGGCAAGUACAAAAAGAAAAACCUAUAGAGAAGUAUACUCUAUCCAGGAAGGCUACAAUUCUGAAUAGGGGAGAUAAAGUUUCCUAGACAAACAAAAUUGAAAAGAAAUUCAUCACCACUAAACCACUUCUACAAAAAAAGUUAAAGAGGACUCUUUGAGUGGAAAGGAAAGAAAGACCAGGGGUACGGAAAGGAAAGGACUGGAAUGUAGGAGUAAGAAAAGUAGGAAGCUCAAACGCAUAAAAAGAAACUUAGCUAUAAAAAUCAGUCGAGGGAUUCACAAAAUAAAAGGAUGUAAAGUAUCUGACAUAUACCUAAAAUAUGAGUGGGGAAAAGAGUAAAGAAUGUGUUCCUAUGUAAGCGACUAUCAACUUAAUGUAGAUUGCUAUAUGCGGGAGAUGUUACAUACAAAUAUAAUGGUAGCCACAAAUCAAAGUCUAGUAAUAGAUAUGCAAAGAAUGAAGAGAAAGGAAUCCCAGUGUAUCACUAAAGAAAACCACAAAACUUUGGGAUGAAAGAACAUGAGAAGAAAGAAACAGAGGACUACAAACAGAAAUGCAGAACAAAUAACAAAAUGGUAAUAAGUUACAUACCUAUGUAUAAUUCCUGUGAGUGUAAAUGGACUAAAUGCUCCAGUCAAAAGACAUAGGGUGCUGAAAUGGAGAAAAAAGCAAGACCCAUCAUAUGCUGCCCAUAAGAGACUCACUUUAGAUCUAAAGACACAUGUAGAUUGAAAGUGGAGGAUUGGAGAAGCAUUGAUCAUACAAAUGGAAGUGAAAAGAAAGUUGAGGUAGCAAUACUUCUGUCAGAGCAAAGACGGUAACACAAGACAAAGGAGGACACUACAUAGUCAUCCUGGGAACAAUCUAAGGAGAAAAUAGAACAAUUGUAAAUAUGUAUGCACCCAUCAUGGCAGCACACAAAUACAUAAGGCAGGUAAUAACAAACAUAAAAGAAGUAAUCAAUAGUAAUACAAUAAUAGUAAAGGCUUUCAUACACCACUUACAUGAAUGGAUAGAUCAUCCAAAUAGAAAAUCAAAGAAGAAACAGUGGCCUUGAAUGACACAUUGGACCAGAUGGAUCUAACAGAUAUAUUCAGAACAUGCCAUCCAAAAACAGCAGAAUACACAUAGUUUUCAUGUGCACGUGGAACAUUCUCCAGAAUAGGUCACAUAUUAGGCCACAAAACAAGUCUCAACAAAUUCAAAAAGAUCAAAAUCAUACAGUGCAUCUUUUCUGAUCACAACACUGUGACAACUAGAAAUCAAUCACAAUAAAAAAGUCUUGAAAGAACACAAAUACAUGGAGGUUAAAUAGCAUGCUGCUAAACAAUAAAUGGGUUAACCAAGAAAUCCAAGAAGAAACAAACAAACAAAAAAAUACAUGGAGACAAAUGAAAAUGAAAAGACGGUGCUCCAAAAUCUUUGGAAUGCAGCAGAAGUGGUUCUAAGGGAAUUUUAUACCAAUACAGGCCUACCUCAAGAAACAAGGAAAAUCUCAAAUAAGCAACCCAACCUUAUACCUGAAGCAUCUGGUAGAAGAAGACCAGAGAAAACCCAAAUCCAGCAGAAGGAAAGAAAUAAUAAUGAUUAGAGCAGAAAUAAAUGAUAUAGAAACUAUAAAACAAAACAAAACAAAACAAAAAAAGGAGAACAACAAUGAAACCAGAAACUGCUUCUUUGGAAAGAACAAAAUUGAUAAGCCUUUAGCUGGACUUAUCCCCAUCCCUGAAAAAUGAGGACUCAAUAAACAAAACAGGAGGGACGCCUAGUUGUCUCAGUUGGGUAAGUGCCAGACUUCACUCAGGUGGUGAUUUCUGACUUUGUGAGUUUGAGCCCUGCACCGGUCUCUGUGUGGACUGCUCAGAGCCUGGAGCCUGCUUCACAAUCUGUGUCUCCCUCUCUCUUGCAUCCCCCCCCCAACUCACACUCUGUCUCUCUCUGUAUCUCAAAAAUAAAGAAAACGAAUUAAAAAAAUAAACAAAACAGGAAAUGAAAGAGAAAUACCUGAUACCACAGAAAUAUCUGUGGUACAGAUUAUAAGAGAAUAUUAUGAAAAACUGUAUGCCAACAAGUUGGGGAACCUAGAAGAAAUGGAGAAAGUCUUAGAAAUGUAUAUCCUCCCCAGACUGAAUCAGGAAGAAAUAGAAAAUUUGAACAGACUGAUUACCAGAUAUAAAAUGGAAUCAUUAAUCAAAAAACUCCCAACAAACAAAAGUCCAGGACCAGUAGCCUUCACAGGCAAUUUUGUCAAACAUUCAAAGAUGACUUAAGACCUAUUCUUCUCAAACUAUUCUGAGAAAUAGAGGAGGAGGGAGAUUCCAAAUUCCUUCUAUGAGGCCAGCAUUAUUCUGAUACCAACACCAGCAAAGGACAGUACCAAAAGAGAGAACUAGAAGCCAAUAUCGCCUGUGAACAUAGAUGAAAAAUCCAGAACAAAAGAUUAGCACAUUGAAUCCAACAAUACACUAAAAACUCAUUCACCAUGAUCAAGUGGCAUUUAUUCCUGGGAGGUAAGGGUGGUCAUUAUUCGUAAAUCAAUCAGUGUGAUACAUCACAUCAGUAGGAGAAAGGAUAAAAACCAUAUGAUCAUUUCAAUAGAUGUAGAAAAAGCAUUUCACAAAGUACAACAUUCAUUUAUGAUAAAAACACUCAACGAAGUAGGUUUAAAGGGAACAUAACUCAAUAUAAUAAGGCCUUAUAUGAAAAACUCAGUUAACAUCGUACUCAGUGGGCGGAAACGGAGAGCUUUCCUCCCAAGGUCAGGAACAAGACAAGGAUAUCUACUCUCACUAUUUUUAUUCAACAUAGUGCUGGAAGUCCCACACUCAGCAGUCAGAAAAGAGAAAAAAAUAAAAAUCAGUUUGGUAAGAAGGAAGUCAAACUUGCAUUGUUUGCAGAUGACAUGAUACUAUAUAUAGAAAACCCUAACGACUCCAGGAAAACAAAACAAAACAAAACAAACCAGGGAAAUUGAACAAUAGAUUUGGUAAGUUCACAGGAUAAAAAAUCAAUGUACAGAAAUCUGUUGCAUUCCUAUACACUAAUAAUGAAGUAGCAGAAAGAGAAAUUAAGAAAAAAAAUGCCUUUCACAUUUGCACUAAAAAUAAUAAAAUCCUUAGGAAUAAACAAAAGAGGGAAAGACCUGUGCUCUAAAAAGUACAGAACGUUGAUGAAAGAAUUUACAGAUGACACAAAUGGAAAGAUAUUUCCUGCUCAUGGAUUAGAAGAACAAAUAUUGUUAAAAUGUCUACACUACCCAAGGCAAUUUGCAGAUUUAAUACGAUCUCUAUGAAAAGACCUAACAGUAUUAUUCACAGAACUAGAACCAACAAUCCAAAACUUGUUUGGAACCAGAUAAGACUCUGAAUAGCCAAAGCAGUCUUGAAAAAGGAAAACUGGAGGUGCCACAGUCUCCAAUAUUAAGUGCACCACAUGCUAUGGCAUGAAGAAAAUGGUUGCUGAGUGUCAAGUGUUCUGGAACUAUUUAGAGGUCAAUGGCCCUCUAAAAUACAGCACCUGUAAUCCUGGUUUGCAAGACAGAUGUGUUUAAAACAAAGUACAUUCAUAAAUCGUCUCUGUAGGGAUAGCUUAUUUUAUGCUAUGGAAAAGGGAAGGUACUAGAAUGUUGAAGAUUGCAUAACAGGUACCCAGUUUCCUUUGGGAUCGAGGGGAAAUGCAGAAUCAGUUAACUACUCAUUACUAUGCUUAGAAAAAAGCAGUAUUAGCUUUAAUCAAAAUCAUAUAACCAACCUUCUUUUCACAGAAUACCUAGUCCCAGGGCCAGCCAGUGUUUUGUUUCCCUAGUACAAGCCUCCGGUGCUUGCUGACUGAUGGGAUAGUGACAAUUACCAGUAAUAAGUUAAUUCAAUUCCAUCCAAUUCAAUCAGUAAUCGUGUACCAAUUACAUUGUGCAAGUACACUACUUGCAAUACAGUUUUCCUACGACUCAGUUCCUGUCCUGGGGGAGUCACAGUCUAGUAGGAGAAAUAAACAUAUGAUUAAUUAAGCAUACCAGUAGGAAAGAAAACACCACGAUGACCAUAGCAGCAACUUUCUAUAUCUGGAGUUAAUGCGCUCACAAAUGUAUACGCACAAGUUUAAAGCACUUCUUAAUUUUGAAACAUUUUUAAAUACCUUUUCUACUCCUGCAUCUCUCUUUAACCACUAUCUAGUGAUUUUGAAUUCCUCCAGUGAUUUUGAAUACUCUUCUGGAAACAGGAGUAUUGGUGCAUUUGUGUGACUAUCUUCUGGAGUUAAACUUGAUGGGACAAGGUGCUAGAUCUCCACUCAGGAGUUUCCUUUAACCAAAGAGCACUGAGCUUCAAAAUCUAAUCCGGGAUAUUCCCCUAUUCUUCCAGAGUUGUCCUUGUCCAGAAAAGCAUCAUCACAUUUCUAUCUUCUUGAACAUCAGCAUUGACAAGAGUGGCCUAUGAUGCAAUUAUGUUGGUCCCUGAGUGCCACAGGGUAAACCUCUCCAAAGCCAGUUAAAUUAAUCAAGAAGGCAAAAUGUUAAUAUGUCAAUAUGGUGACUAAGCAGGGGAAAUUCGUACCCUGAGCAUCAUCCCGUCUGCAAAACUGGGUCUGAUACAUGGAAUAGCGAUAUGAAACGGGACUUGAUUUGAGAGUAAUGUUGGAUGAUGUGUUAUAGCCUGAUCAAGUCAGCAAUUAAAUAUAAUCACAAGAGAGAGUUGUUUAAAAAUGUUUCUCUACUUCACUUUGGUGGAAUACAAUUCUCCAGAACACAUUCAGAAUUAAGAGGCGUGUAUUUAGCUUAAUUAACUAUUUAAUCACAUGUCAUCUACCUAUUAUUUCCACUCUCCAAUUUUCCAUAACACCCAGAAGAGUUGGCUAAUUUUUAACAUUUCUGUUGACUUUCUCCAAAUUGAACACUAUUGUUUUAUGCUUCUAUCCACCUUGUGGUUGUCACAAAAUCUCUUCCUCUCAUUACCUUCAGCUUUGCUGGGAAAACCAAGUGGAAUUAGCAAUCAAUCACAGCAUUUAGCAGCUCAGCUGGCCUGAAUGAAAAGCUCAGGACACAUCCAGCUCUUUUCAGAGUUUCCAUUCCUGGAUGACGGGUCCAGAGUUCUCUCAAUGUCUCGGCCAUGCCAUGUUCAUCUUCUGUGCAUUUGUAGAGGCUGUGGUUUCUUCAUCCCGUCUGCAUGGGCUUUCGUUGAGCACUCAUUCCAUGCU